UAGGUCUCUUCCUCAACCGAUUUGAAGCU
This 29-nucleotide non-coding RNA is filed under the name Mus musculus (house mouse). The record is from RNAcentral. Lineage: Eukaryota; Metazoa; Chordata; Mammalia; Rodentia; Muridae.